GAAACUUUUCACUGUAGUCUCAAGAAGAUAGUAACAUCUGUGCUACUGGAAAGGCUCUCUCCCCUGCCGGCUUUGAGGAAGCAAGCAGCCACACUGGAAUGCCUACAUGGCAAGGAACUGAGGGCAACCUCCAGCCAACAGAUGGCAAGAACUGAGGCCCUCUGUCCAGCCAUCUGUAAGAAACUGAAUGUUGCCCAACCACCAUGUGAGCUGAGAAGUGGAUCCUUCCCCAACAAGCCUCAGAUGAGACCACAGUCCUGACCAACACCUUCAUUGCAGCCCUGUGGGUCCCUGAAGCAGAGGACCCAGCUAAGCCUGAAAGAAACUACAAGGUCAUUAAUGUGUGUUGUUUAAAGUCACUAAGUUUGUGGUGAUAUUGUUAUGUAACAAUAUACUAAUACAAUAGCUGCCUAUUUUAAUUUGGUGGCUACCAUGUCUUCUGGGAUCGAGACUUUCUAAAGCUCUACUCAGUCUCCUGAAUCAAUGGUUUUCUUUGAUGGGAAUCACUCUGCUUCUUCUCUGGGUGCCUCUCAUGAUGUUGGGUUUUUCAGAAGUCUCAUGAAUCUUGCAUGGUUGUGAAGUGCACAUAAAGUCCCUAGCUGUAAAGAACUUUCUAAUGGGUGUGAAAUAGGAUUAGAGACAAAGACAGUAAGCAUAAGUAUUUUCAGUUAGUAACAGUUACCAAUAAAAAAUGUAGGAUAAUAUGAUAGUGAUGGCAUGCACGUGUUGGAAGUUAGUGGAGGCUAUCUCCCCAGUGGUCAAAGGAGGUCUUGCUGGAGAAAUUAUAUUUUACUAACUUGAAGCAGCAGCUGUAAGGAAGAGCUUUCCACACUCAAAGAACAGUGUAAUGUUCCCUACCCCACAUUGCUGCUGUAACAAACUACCAUAAACUUAGCAGCUUAGAACCACACACAGUUAUGACCCCACAGUUCUGUACAUCAGAAGUAUAGGAGUCUCUACCAGUUUCUCUGCUCUGGGUCCCAUAAGACUGAAAUCAAGGUGUCAGCCGGCCUGGAUUCUCAUCUGGAACCUCUGGGUGAGGCUUCCUGGCUUAUUUAGGUUGCUGGCAGAAUUCCCUUCUAUGCAGUUCUAGGACUGACACCUCUGGUUUUUGUUGGCUAUUGUCUGGAGGCUCCUGUCAGCUCCUAGAGACUUCUCUCCAGCCUUCGUGCAUGGGCUCCUGAUUCACAGAGCUGCAACUUCAGAGAAAAUCCUUCUCAUGCUCGGAAUCUUGGACAUCCUCUCUGCCACAUCUUUCUUCUGCCUCUUUAGCCCUCCUCUUCUCUAACCAGCCAGAGAACAUUCUCUGCUUUUAAGGACUUGUGAAAUUAGAUUGGCCCUACACAAAUAAUUCAAGAUAACCUCCCUAUCUGCAGGUCUGUAACCGCAUUACCUCUGCAAAGUCCCUUCCCAGCAGUACCUAGAUUUGACUGAAUAAGCAGGGGAUGGGUCUCUUGGAGGAACAUCUUCAGAAUUCUGCCUACCACACUUCCUAUAUGAGAAACAUGUUUGUUGCACCUUAAGAUCCAGUGGGAUGAAGGAAAGUAAGAAAGGAGAGUGAAGAGAAAUGAUAUUUGGCUCUAGGAAGGAAUUUGGAUUUUAUUUUCAUUUAGAUGGGAAUCUAUUGGAGGAUUUUUACAAGGGGAAGUAAUGUUAAGUUAUACUUUAAAAGUGAUCAGUAUGCUGACAGGAGAAAGCUUCCUUAGCAAUUGUCUUUCAUAUUGCCCAGCCAUGGAUAGAGAUGUGUUAACUGUGGCGUGAGCAAGACCUCCUCUAUGUCUUGGCGUAAGCCUGCAUGUGUCAGUGGCAAGGAUAUAGAGAAACUGUAGGAAGUGGGGGUCGACCCUUAAAAAAAUGUGGAAGUAGGUAAAAAGUUACCGAGACAGGAGUGAGUUACAUCAAGAAGUUCCACUGCUUCAUCAAAUACUUGUGCUUCUGUCUAACGUGGCAACCAAGUACCUGCCAUCCUGACUCACUUCUCAGGCUGCAGGGCCCACAAAAGCCAGGCGACUGUAAAUGACUCCCCCUGAUUUAGGGAACUCCACUUCCCAGUGGUUCCACAAGAACAGUUGGGCAUGAGCUCCGCAAGGCUUGUCUUGGCAAUCCUUUCAGAUACCAGACCACUGGCCCACAGCCUAUUUUGCUGCCUAAGCUAGGGGUACAGCCCAGGCACUGCUGAGAUAACCAAUCUCAUCUGGCAUUUUCACAGCCAUUAUUUAGCUCAGGGAUUCCAACAACCCAGUACCAUUUGCCUUGUGACCUCCAGAAACACCUGUCAUAUUUGAAAAUGGUAACCUUCUCUCUUUUCCAACAUCACACUGGAUUGAUUCUUAGUGUGUAUUUUUUCAUUUCAAUGAAAAUUUUGCACAUACGGGCAGGAAAGGUAAAUUUGUGGCUUAGGCCACUAUUUUAAAUGGAAAGUUUGUUACUAUACCUUUUAUUAUUAAGCUAAUAUAUUCUUCUGGGGGAAAAAAAAUGCUGGGGUAGUUUUUUCCUAGAAGCCUUUUAAGGGAAAGUUGAGCUGCAUGCAUUUCUUGGAUACAAAGGUAAGGUGCAACUCUGACACUAAAGCAUGAGACUACCAAGCGCUGAUGGCUCCCUCUCUGGGACUGCAUGGCUUCAUCACACAUGGGGAUGAGAACUGGGGCCUGACAGUCCAGGGCAGUGAGUGAAGGUGAGCAAAGGAGGAGACAAGGCCUCUGCUCUGGACUCACUGACUGCACAGGUUGUUAUAAUAUGGGAGUGCUUGCCCUCGCCAUAUCCGAGGAACCUGGGACUUAGCUACGUUUCCCCUGCCAUCUCUACAUUUCUGAGCAGAAAUGGAUUGAGAGAGCUCUAAUAGCUGUGUUUCACUGGCCGUGGCAGGCCCUGUUGGUCAGCAGGCACACCGCUGCUUGUUGAGAUGCCUGAGCCCAGCUGUCACAAAACACCAAUGGCCCAAGUGCCCUUAACAACAGCAUGUUGCCUUUAUAAAACGCCACCUUAUGUGGACUUCCUAAUUUUUCUUUUUCUCUUAAGUGGUUAUUAUAUAUUAAGUGGUCCAUUAUGCUGACUUAACUCCUUAAUAAAGCCCUCUCUUCAUGUUUUCCCGUUGUUUUUAUAAUGAGCCAAAUUAGUAAUAAAGUUAGCCCUUACCUGACUAUACUUUGUUUUGUACCUCCCAGUACCCAGCACCUGAUACUGUGUAAGCAAUUCUCAAAUUCAUAAAUUUUUGGUAAGUGAUAACAGAAAUCUGGAUGUGUUAUUAAGGAAUGACCAGUACAAUUUCCCUUUAUCACUAAAAAAACAAAUCUUACGGAGUCUGUACAAACUCUCUAAGGUUAGAAUCACUGGCAGUUUUCUAAUGUCCAUUUUAAUGCUCUUUCCAUUAUAAGCCGUGUUGUAAAAGUAUUUUUUAAGGGCAAGAGUUAAAAGUGGUGACUGCAUCUUAUCUAUUCUCCCAAGACUCCCUCCAUUCACCCAGGCUGCUGGGGCAAACCUUCAAGAUGGCCUCACCUGCUUAAACUGUUUAAAAUGUGCUCCCUCACCACCAGCUCCCCAACUAAGGUCAAGAACUAGGAAUAUAAGAAGGAAGUAAAAAGAUGUUAUCUUUAUCCAACCUGUCCUUUUGCCAUGGACCUUGAUAGAAUCCUUUCUUUUAAUCAGAUCCCUAAAGGUGGGCUGUAAAGUGUCCCUUAAAAAAACACUGGGAGAGUAAAAAUGGAGACCAAUAAAUAACAUAUAAGCAUGAGUAGAGAAAAAUAAUAAUCUGGGACAGACCUUUAAAAAAGUUCUAAAGUGUAGAAAAGGAGAAACAUAACUAAGAGAUAUUUCUUUGGAAUUAGAAUUUUUCCACAAAACUAAAGAUAGAUGGCAUAUGAUCUCUAAUAAUAUGAUGCAAAUACCACAAACACUAAGCAGAAUGAGCUAGGACAACCACACAAAAUAGCUGAAAAGAUCCUUCACAGCAACAAGAGCAAAAUCAAGGCAGAUUCAAAGAAGAGGCACAAUCAUAAAACAUGAACCAGGCCUUUUAAAUCUGUAUUUUACUAUUUAAUCCUCACUCUCCAACAAGACAGGUAUAAACUAUUCUCACUUUAGAAUUGAGAUUGAAUAAUUAAGUAACCAACAGUCACCAGUAAAUGACAGAGCCAGAAUUCAACAGGUCUAUUUGGCUCCACAGCCCAUGAUCUUUAGACUAUGAUUCCAUUAAGACCAGCUUGUCAAUAUGAAAGGCACACCUGAGAGAUAUUUUAGAAUUGAGAAAAUGAGUUAAAAUUUCAGAAAAUUAGAAAUUUACCACAGAAUGAAUACAUAUCAAAAGGAUCAUAUAUUAUUAUUAGAUGUAUAAUAAAGAUUUAAGAAGGCCUGAAAUCAUAAAUUAGAAUUACCAUAUUCAUAUCAAAAUUGUUAAGCAUUAAUACCAUAACCAAGUGACAUGUUUAGUAAAAUGUGUAUUUCUACUAAGGGAAUGUAAUUUUUGAAGACAUUAAAUAUCAGGCUAGCAUUCAUGUUUCUGAAACAAUAGCUAAAGACAGGGCAGUGCCACACUUGAGAUAAUUUAAUCCAAGAUUAUUAUAUUCGAUGAAGACAAUCGCAUGUGGCGAGAGUAAGCAAUCUUAAAGUUUCAGUAAGCUUCCUAUCCAACUGCUUCAGAAACACUCAAAAUCACAAAGUGUUGAGACAAAGAAAGCUUCUCUGUGGUAUAACGUAGAAACAACAGUUGACUCCCCAGCUCAAAUUUUCUUUCCAGCUUUAAAAUAUCCUGACUAUUCCUUUCAGGUUUAGAUUCUUAUUUAACAGAGUAGACCUUAAUUCAGGAAAGACCAUUUCUUGAGCUAACAAGAGAGACAUGGGCUCUGCUUAAUCCAAGAUGAGCUAAACCAACUAGACUUUCUCUCCUUGUCACAAUUUCUAAACUCCAUAGAAAGAAGUGGCCCUGUGGCUGGUGAUCAAGGGAGCUUAAAGUCAGGGCUGGCAGAAGCUGUAACUGAAAAAAACUGAUAAUAAAUAUUAAGACCAAAUUUCAGAGCUAAAUAAAACAUUAACAGCUAGAGGGCAAAUGCUGAUAAAUCUAAAUAGCUAGACCCAAGAAGGUGGGAGUGAUCUGCAAUUAAACACCAAGAAAGAAAAACUAGAGAAUUCCUUGACAUCAAUACCAAAGAAACCAAGUUUAUAGUGCUGUUUAUAUAGAAAUAGAAAGGGAUAAAGACAGUAAUGAAUAUUGUGGAAUGUUUUAGGAUGUUAAAAGAUAUAACUAAGAACUGAAGACAAGAAGUUUAACGUCCAAAUUCUAAUAAAAAAGGCCAGGCGUGGUGGCUCAUGCCUGUAAUCCCAACACUUCAGGAGGCUGAGGUGGGUGGAUCGUUUGAGGCCAGGAGUUCGAGAGCAGCCUGGGCAACAUGGUGAAACCCCAUCUCGAUUAAAAAUACAAAAAUUAGCUGGGUGUGGUGGUGCAAACCUGUGGUCUCAGCUACAAGGGAGACUGAGGCACAAGAAUCACUGGAACCCAGGAGGCAGAGGUUGCAGUGAGCUGAGAUCACACCACUGCACUCCAGCCUAGGCAACACAGCGAGACUGUUUCAAAAUAACCAAAACAAAACAAAAAAUGAAUUCUAAUGAAAGACAAUCACAUAUUACAAAGGGAAAAACUAAAAAUUGCAACAAUCUUUUAACAUAAAAACAGAAGGCAAACCAAGAAUAAAAAUUUAAACUAUAUACACAAACUGUCUAAAUUCAACAACUAAAAGUGUUUCAAUUUGUCAUUUCAAAUUGCACUGUUCACAAGAGAAAACAUUAGAACUUAAAUAUAACCUCCACGAGACCAAGGAUAUUUGUGUUGUUCAUUGCUCUACGUUCACUACCUUCAGUUUUUUGAAUAAAUGCAAAAAGAAUGCCAACAAAUACCAAAACUGCCUACUGCCCAAUGCUGCCAUAGCUCUGAUUCAGUGCAGAUGGAGUUUUACACAGGAACUACUUUUUCAAGAGGACAAUUUAGAAUGCAAGCCAAAAGCUUUAAAAAGUGCAUAUUCUUUAAUCCAGGAAUUACUCAAG
RNAcentral lists this long non-coding RNA (6033 nucleotides) under Homo sapiens (human). Its description in RNAcentral is "HSALNT0122638". Lineage: Eukaryota; Metazoa; Chordata; Mammalia; Primates; Hominidae. The record is from RNAcentral.